RNAcentral lists this ribosomal RNA (260 nucleotides) under Polycheles typhlops. RNAcentral's name for it is "partial 12S ribosomal RNA". The record is from RNAcentral. Lineage: Eukaryota; Metazoa; Arthropoda; Malacostraca; Decapoda; Polychelidae.
UAUAAACGAUAAACCACGAAAAAUCUUACUUAUUUAAAAGAUUUAGUUUGUAUACCGUCAUUAUAGAGAACUUCAAGAGAAAAAAUUAGUUGUUAGAAUUACUUAUAAGUAGAGAUAUUAGAUCAAGGUGCAGUUAAUAAAUAAGGUAGGAUGGGUUACAAUAUUAAUUAAAAUAAACGGAAUGGGGGAGUGAAAGAUUAACCUCUCAUGAAGGAGGAUUUAAUAGUAAAUAGAUUUUUAAUAAGGUUUAUUGAUAAAGG